Rattus norvegicus (Norway rat) is the source of this 1631-nucleotide non-coding RNA. The record is from RefSeq and is a predicted model, not a curated record. Lineage: Eukaryota; Metazoa; Chordata; Mammalia; Rodentia; Muridae.
UGUCCUCUCUACCUGUGUGGCUUUCUGUCUCCCAGAUACUCAUAUUUCUGCCCCCACCCCCACCCCCAUCCUCAGAAUCUGCCUGGCAAUGACGUAAUGAGAGUUGGUUGCUAGGCAACCUGCCUCAGCUCAGUCAAGAGAAAUCUGCUCUGGUUUGAAGGGCCCCUGCCGAUUUCUUAAAAUAUCAGCUCUUAGCACACAUCUCAUCCCAAAGCAGAGAGAAUACAGUGCUGGCAACCUCCCCCUCCACCAAACCCCCCAGGCCUCCCUUCCCCAACCAUGCUGGCUUUCUGAGAGCUGAUCAUGUGAGACUAACCUCCUUGUCUCUCCUUGUCACGGUCCUUAGCCUAUAGGAGAGGGACCUGUGAUUGCUGUGACUUCAGCAGGCAUUGGCAGAGUCUGCCCCGUGGUUCUCGAGGAUGAAAUGGUUAGUGCAUCCCAGAUGAUCUGCUAAGUGAAUGCUGCCUGUUGUAUAUAAUUAUAGACAAAGGCCUUAGCUAAUGGCCCCGUGUAACCCUGCGGGGAGGUCUGCGGCGCCACAGGGGACUGACAUCAGUCCUGCAUUGUCUGAUACUCUUAUCAAUGAUGUAGACAGGAGAGGAGAGGCCUGCCUGUCAAGAUGGGGCCGAAACAAAGGCUAGGAAGAGCAGGCUAUGCUCAGGGUCCUCCAGAUGUGGAAAUGGCUCAAAACGGAGCAGGCUGGGGGGGUGGGGAAAACUGAAUGGGAUUUGGUGGCGAUGUCUGAAUGGGAGCACUCAUCAAUCAGAUGCUAGCCCAGAGGCACAGUGAGGCCAAAAAACAAACAGAGACAUCAGGCUCCGUGACGCUCCCACCUGACAAAAGACAUGCGCUUAGAAGGAAAAGGAAAAAAAAAGAGAGAGAGACAAAAACUUGAACGCAGUCUUUAAAACAGAGGUGAAGCAAAUCAAUCAAAAACAGGCAGAAAUAUGGGUGCUGGAACUUCAGUGCCUCAGGGCCCCCACAAGUCAAGAGAGAGAGAGAGAGAGAGAGAGAGAGAGAGAGAGAGAACAAUGUUGUUGGUUGUCAGGAGGACACAGGUUGUGAUCACCGUGUGUGACCUGACCUCUGCAAUGAGUGGCCAAAGGAAAAGGGGAGAAUAUGUAAUCUGACAGCAGAGACAUGAGUGUCCCAAGUCACCUCCUCUGUGUGGUUAGGCCGCAUUUGUUCAAGAUGAGCAGACCUGCUCUGCGCUCCCACCCCUGGGUCUCCUCCUCCUCACAGAGCGCCACACGUCGGGUGUCUAAGACAUGUGUGUUCAAAAGCCGUUAGAGCUGCCUUCAGGGAGUUGCAAGCCAGAGAUACUCCGUGCCUGAGGACCAUGGGUGGACAUGACUCUGCUGUCCUUGAGGAAGAUACUCACUGCUGCGUGUAGUUUCUGGCACGGAAUGCUGAAAAGCACAGAAAGACCUGAGGAAGCCACAGGCGAAGGGCAGACUGCCCUGUGCGCUCUGAUACAGAACAGCCCAAGCUGGGGGGCAGAGAGUGGACUCGGGGCCGUGAGCAUGCUAAGCAUGCACCCUGGGCUGGGCUACGGCUUCUGUUCUCUCCUCAUAUGACUUUUUACAAUCUUAAGAUAAGGAGCUCACUAAACUGCCCAGGCUGGCCUUGAA